This 434-nucleotide ribosomal RNA is filed under the name uncultured bacterium. RNAcentral describes it as "bacterial SSU rRNA". It matches the Rfam family "Bacterial small subunit ribosomal RNA", at positions 958 to 1392 of the family's 1533-position model. The record is from RNAcentral.
AACGCGAAGAACCUUACCAAGGCUUGACAUCCCCAUGGCGUAUGUAGAGAUACAUCUUUCCUUCGGGACAUGGGAGACAGGUGGUGCAUGGUUGUCGUCAGCUCGUGUCGUGAGAUGUUGGGUUAAGUCCCGCAACGAGCGCAACCCUUAUCUUUAGUAGCCAGUACGUAAUGGUAGGCACUCUAGAGAGACUGCCGUGGAUAACACGGAGGAAGGUGGGGAUGACGUCAAAUCAUCAUGCCCCUUAUGUCUUGGGCAACACACGUGCUACAAUGGCUUAUACAAAGUGAAGCGAAGUCGCGAGGCGGAGCAAAGCACAAAAGUAAGUCUCAGUUCGGAUUGUAGUCUGCAACUCGACUACAUGAAGCUGGAAUCGCUAGUAAUCGCGAAUCAGCAUGUCGCGGUGAAUACGUUCCCGGGUCUUGUACACACCG